This is a long non-coding RNA of Balaenoptera acutorostrata (minke whale), 1028 nucleotides long. RefSeq lists it as uncharacterized. Lineage: Eukaryota; Metazoa; Chordata; Mammalia; Artiodactyla; Balaenopteridae. The record is from RefSeq and is a predicted model, not a curated record. The transcript is spliced from 4 exons.
CAGGCCGGGCGGAGGCCCCCGUGGUGGGCGGGAUUCCGCGGCUCACUGGCUGGGGUUCUGAGAUGCUGUGACUCGGUGACCGGCUGAGAGGCCGAGUUCAUGCAAAUCCCGGCUCCUUGCGGCCUGUCCUGCGCGGUGCCGGUGCCCGAGGCCGGAAAAAGGGGAAAAAGGAAAGAAAGGUCUCGAGUUAAAUAAGACUGCUCUUUAGCGCCUCGGGGGAAGGCCGGAGCUCGAUCACGAGGAUCCUUGGUAGUUUAUCUUGAAGCAAUCAUCCCAGUCAUUCUAGGAAGGCACUAUCCAGUCUGUUGUUAAAAGCUGUGGGUGAGGACUUCCCUGGUGGCGCAGUGGUUAAGAAUCUGCCUGCCAAUGCAGGGGACAUGGGUUCGAGCCCUGGUCCGGGAAGAUCCCACAUGCCAAGGAGCAACUAAGCCCGUGUGCCACAACUUCUGAAGCCCGCGCGCCUAGAGCCCGUGCUCUGCAACAAGAGAAGCCACCGCAAUGAGAAGCCCAUGCACCGUAAUGAAGAGUAGCCCCCACUCACUGCAACUAGAGAAAGCCCGCGUGCAGCAAUGAAGACCCAACACAACCAAAAGAAAAUCAGUAUCCAUAAAGAACCUGUAGCUGAUGAUAUGGAAGCUAAAGUGGGCUUUGGAGACUUGGGAAGACAGAAAGAGACCAUAAAAUGGAGACUGACUGAUCCUCAGACCUAGACUCAACUUGUACCACUUCCAGGGGAGACAACAUGCUGAGGACCGGUGUGCAGAAAGUGGUGACUCCUUGAAAUAGGAAGGCAUGGAAAUGACCCACCAAAACCUGAGGAAUAUAAGCAAGUUGAAACACAUUUUCUGGAUGAGAAUAAUAAUCUUUAAUGGAGUCCGUAAGAAUUGUUUCAGGAAUUAACAUGAGGAGUUCAUAAAUAAAGAGAUAUCCUUUUAUUUUUAAAGCAACAAUAUUGAUGAAGAUUCUUGGUUUCCCAACAAUGUGUUUUUUGCAUAGCAACUGAACGACCUGAAGGAGAUAGGAAUAAA